UACGUAGGGGGCAAACGUUGUCCGGAUUUACUGGGUGUAAAGGGUGCUCAGGCGGUCUUGUAAGUCAGAAGUGAAAUCCUAGGGCUUAACCCUGGAACUGCUUUUGAUACUACAAGGCUUGAAUAUGGAAGAGGAGGAUGGAAUUUCUGGUGUAGCAGUGAAAUGCGUAGAUAUCAGAAAGAACACCAGUGGCGAAGGCGGUCCUCUGGUCCAUUAUUGACGCUAAAGCACGAAAGCGUGGGGAGCAAACAGG
This 253-nucleotide ribosomal RNA is filed under the name uncultured bacterium. Its description in RNAcentral is "partial 16S ribosomal RNA". It matches the Rfam family "Bacterial small subunit ribosomal RNA", at positions 524 to 776 of the family's 1533-position model. The record is from RNAcentral.